UACUAGAGAGAAAAAUUUCCCCUCUGAACACAGCAGGGGGGCUGUAGCAUUUCAGGCAGCAGAGGAUCAGGGGGGUGGGGAAGUUUGUCAGUCUCCAUCAGGUUGCCUGGGUCAUGGAAUAUAUAGGGCACCCGCAUCCUGGAGUGCUCAGGAGAAGAGAUACAUGAGAUCACAGCUCCAAGCUCCAACUAUCAUGAAGAUCAGCCUUCACUAGGCAGAUGCCUAGGUUAGGAGAGCUGGAUUCUAAGGGGGAGGAAGCAUGUUAUCAUAGCUCAAGGUUCCUGUUUUUCUGUUGGAAGAAGCAUGAUCCAGAAGCUAAAGAAAAGCAAAUCACGGUCUGGUAUACAUGGUGUCAAGUCUGGCAAAUGCUCAUACUUGGAUACAGGUUGGUGGUGAAUGUCUGGGCUCCAUUUCUACCAAGAAAAAGAGGAUGUGUUUGUAUGGUGAUUUUCCUGUCCCAGGGCCUCCUAGAAAUGGCAGCCACCCUCCUUCCUCCAGCAGCCACCUCCCACCCAAUCUCAUGGUUUCAUUAAAUAAGUCUUGGGAAAUUCCCAUCAAAUCAGCAAAAAGCUCAAGCAGAAGUCAAUAUAAAGGAAAGGAGAAGGGUGUCAGAAAGAGAAGAGGGAGAAGGAGGAUGGACCAUAACUAGAGAGAUUGAUAUUAAAAGAAACUUUCCAGUUAUU
Sarcophilus harrisii (Tasmanian devil) is the source of this 683-nucleotide long non-coding RNA. RefSeq lists it as uncharacterized. The transcript is spliced from 4 exons. The record is from RefSeq and is a predicted model, not a curated record. NCBI's taxonomy places the organism in Eukaryota, Metazoa, Chordata, Mammalia, Dasyuromorphia, Dasyuridae.